AAGCGAUCUCCCGCACGGUGGGACCGUGCGAACCAGGUCAGGCGGGAAACCGAGCAGCCUUAAGCAUCGCGUUACCAGGUGUGCCGGGAGAUCGCUUUCU
Molecule: signal recognition particle RNA, 100 nt
Filed under: Planctomicrobium piriforme
Lineage: Bacteria; Pseudomonadati; Planctomycetota; Planctomycetia; Planctomycetales; Planctomycetaceae
Description: Bacterial small signal recognition particle RNA
Rfam family: Bacterial small signal recognition particle RNA
About the family: The signal recognition particle (SRP) is a universally conserved ribonucleoprotein involved in the co-translational targeting of proteins to membranes.
Source: Rfam by way of RNAcentral